GACGAACGCUGGCGGCGUGCUUAACACAUGCAAGUCGAACGGAAAGGCCCUGCUUUUGUGGGGUGCUCGAGUGGCGAACGGGUGAGUAACACGUGAGUAACCUGCCCUUGACUUUGGGAUAACUUCAGGAAACUGGGGCUAAUACCGGAGAGGAGCUCCUGCUGCAUGGUGGGGGUUGGAAAGUUACGGCGGUUGGGGAUGGACGCGCGGCUUAUCAGCUUGUUGGUGGGGUGGUGGCUUACCAAGGCUUUGACGGGUAGCCGGCCUGGGAGGGUGACCGGCCACAUUGGCACUGGGAUACGGCCCAUACUCCUACGGGAGGCAGCAGUGGGGAAUAUUGCACAAUGGGCGGAAGCCUGAUGCAGCAACGCCGCGUGCGGGAUGACGGCCUUCGGGGUGUAAGCCGCUUUCGCCUGUGACGAAGCGUGAGUGACGGAAAUGGAUAAAGAAGCACCGGCUAAUUACGU
RNAcentral lists this ribosomal RNA (467 nucleotides) under uncultured bacterium. RNAcentral's name for it is "partial 16S ribosomal RNA". It matches the Rfam family "Bacterial small subunit ribosomal RNA", at positions 28 to 506 of the family's 1533-position model. The record is from RNAcentral.